This 621-nucleotide ribosomal RNA is filed under the name uncultured bacterium. RNAcentral describes it as "bacterial SSU rRNA". The stretch from base 1 to 536 matches the Rfam family "Bacterial small subunit ribosomal RNA", at positions 338 to 873 of the family's 1533-position model. The record is from RNAcentral.
CCUACGGGAGGCAGCAGUCGAGAAUAUUUAGCAAUGGGCGAAAGCCCGACUAUGCGACGCCGCGUGAGGGAUGAAGGUUUUCGGAUCGUAAACCUCUUUUGUCAGGGGAGAAAAAACUGCACCUAAUAGAUGCAGGACUGACGGUACCUGACGAAUAAGCCACGGCUAACUCCGUGCCAGCAGCCGCGGUAAUACGGAGGUGGCAAGCGUUACUCGGAAUCAUUGGGUGUAAAGGGCAAGUAGGCGGUCUAAUAAGUGAGGGGUGAAAUCCUGCGACUCAAUCGCAGAACUGCCUUUCAAACUGUCAGACUUGAGGUAAGAAGAGGAAAAUGGAAUUCUAGGUGUAAGGGUGAAAUCUGUAGAUAUCUAGAAGAACACCAACGGCGAAGGCAAUUUUCUACUCUUAUCCUGACGCUAAAUUGCGAAAGCUAGGGGAGCAAACAGAAUUAGAUACUCUGGUAGUCCUAGCCGUAAACGAUGAGCACUAGUAGUGUCCGUUCGGUCGACGUGCGCAGCUACGACAUAGUAGCUCCACCUCGGUACGUACGUCGUCGAGACGUAAACGUUAAACGUAAGUUAGUACGGCGUGAGACGUGCCGACGACGACGACGAGGGAGGAGG